AUUAGAUGGCGGUACAUGUAGUUUGAAUAGAUGUGGCAGUCAGUCAGAAUUAGAUGGCGGUACAUGUAGUUUGAAGACUCACAUGGUUUGAAGAUCAAAUGUUGUUUACAAAUUGGGUUUAUAUAUAUAUAUAUAUAUGGGUGUCUAACUAAUAAAUUAAUCCUUCACUCACUAAAAUUAAGGAUGGAUGCUCUUGCAGCAUUGGCCUUCCGUCCUUCAGUGCGGCGCUGGUUGUGGCAAAUCACCAAAAGCAACUCGAAAUGGAUUCCAUAGUAGAUUUGGAGUCAGAUUGCAGCAAAGGAAUAUGGCAACAACAAAACAUGUCACAGGGACACUGAGGAGGUAGAAGGAAGGAAGCAUGACAAGGAACUCUUCCUGAAUCCUCCGGAACACAGUCACUCACUCAUCCUAAAAUUAUUGCGGGCACAGAGCUACCGAACUUAUGACGACUUGAAGCAGAUUCAAAUCCAUUCACGUGAGUGACAUGGAUGCGUCAAGACAGAUGCUCAUCCAUGUAACCCUGGUCUGGAAGGUCACCUUUCUUUCUUUCUACGCGUCCGAUACGACCUCCGGAAUUUUGAAAUUCUCUAAGGGGUCCUCUUUCCACUGUUGACGACCAACUUGGCGCCAAGACAUCGAAACUAGUCGCAAAAGGGGUUUCAAAGGAACCUGUCAAAACCUCGACGCAGAAACCCAACUGCGGUUUCUCCUCCAAAACACACUCGACCUCUGUCUCCUCAUCGCUCAUGAAACUAAUGCCAACACUCGAUCAAUCACCAGAGGCUCCUAAACCCACAAGUACGCAGAAAAGUGGGAAGCAUCUGGCACAGUCACCGGCCCCCUUUGUUCUCAUACGCCUUACCCGAGAGAGAGAGAGAGAGACAUCCAUUUUCUAUCAAGCUUGUCAUCGCCGACUUGAUACACUGGGCGUUCCGCUUGUGCUCUCAAUGAUUGCUUGCGCAGCAGCAGCCGAGUCGUAUACCCAGACCGAUCUCCACUCAUUAACUACCUGCCCUGCCCUGCCUGCACUGGAUCGCACCGCCUUCUUCUAUC
This 1053-nucleotide long non-coding RNA is filed under the name Physcomitrium patens. Its description in RNAcentral is "long non-coding RNA (PPAT_LNC012815)". The record is from RNAcentral. Lineage: Eukaryota; Viridiplantae; Streptophyta; Bryopsida; Funariales; Funariaceae.